Molecule: ribosomal RNA, 511 nt
Filed under: Drosophila involuta
Lineage: Eukaryota; Metazoa; Arthropoda; Insecta; Diptera; Drosophilidae
Also listed under: 1 other name
Description: partial 16S ribosomal RNA
Rfam family: Bacterial large subunit ribosomal RNA (bases 387-511)
Source: RNAcentral
GUCUUUUUGAAUUAAAUUUAAAGUCUAACCUGCCCACUGAAAUUUUUUAAAUGGCCGCAGUAUUCUAACUGUGCAAAGGUAGCAUAAUCAUUAGUCUUUUAAUUGAAGGCUGGAAUGAAUGGUUGGACGAAAUAUUAACUGUUUCAUUUAAAUUUUUUAUAGAAUUUUAUUUUUUAGUCAAAAAGCUAAAAUAAAUUUAAAAGACGAGAAGACCCUAUAAAUCUUUAUAUUUUGUUUAUUUUAAUUAUAAAGAUUAUUUUUAUUAUAAUAAAUUAAAAUAUUUUAUUGGGGUGAUAUUAAAAUUUAAAAAACUUUUAAUUUUUAAAACCAUUAAUUUAUGAAUAAUUGAUCCAUUAAUAAUGAUUAAAAAUUUAAGUUACUUUAGGGAUAACAGCGUAAUUUUUUUGGAGAGUUCAUAUCGAUAAAAAAGAUUGCGACCUCGAUGUUGGAUUAAGAUAUAAUUUUGGGUGUAGCCGUUCAAAUUUUAAGUCUGUUCGACUUUUAAAUUCUU